AAGUCGUAACAAGGUUUCCGUAGGUGAACCUGCGGAAGGAUCAUUAACACGUAUCCGACGUUAAACCCCUGUGAACCUUCAUUGUGCUCCCCCAUUCCGUUAUGCAAUCCCUGGUAAAUCAUCGCCGAACAGUUUUGAUUCAGGGACCUCUGCAUGGAGCGCGAGGCAAGUGGCCUGGCAUUCGAAAGAAUGGCGCAGUAACGAUCGCUAGAGGCCGGCGCCGGGUCACUGGGCUCACGCCCCCCUAUCACCUUUGCAUGAAAACGGGCCUGCGCUUAAUUGUGCGGCCACCAAACUCGAACAACUGUUAACAAUGGAUAUCUUGGUUCUC
RNAcentral lists this unclassified non-coding RNA (331 nucleotides) under fungal sp. RNAcentral describes it as "partial internal transcribed spacer region". The stretch from base 1 to 46 matches the Rfam family "Eukaryotic small subunit ribosomal RNA", at positions 1786 to 1831 of the family's 1831-position model. Lineage: Eukaryota; Fungi. The record is from RNAcentral.